UCCUUGUCCAGAGUUGACUGACGUAGACGACGGAUUUUGUAAUACUAUCUACUUUGGGUCCGUAUAAGGAGCAUUACCUUUAACGGAAGAUGAAAUAAUUUACAGCGAAGAGACUGAAAAAGUUGGUGCCAUAGUAAAACUGGGUAUUCUAAGUUUUUUUACCCACUCAAUAAUUUUUGCUGGAACCACAACGGGAAAGAUUGGUAAA
This 208-nucleotide long non-coding RNA is filed under the name Mytilus galloprovincialis (Mediterranean mussel). Lineage: Eukaryota; Metazoa; Mollusca; Bivalvia; Mytilida; Mytilidae. The record is from RNAcentral.